GCCCUCGUAGCUCAGUCGGAUAGAGCACAGGAUUCCUAAUCCUGGUGCCGCAGGUUCGAUUCCUGCCGAGGGCA
Molecule: transfer RNA, 74 nt
Filed under: Humidesulfovibrio mexicanus
Lineage: Bacteria; Pseudomonadati; Thermodesulfobacteriota; Desulfovibrionia; Desulfovibrionales; Desulfovibrionaceae
Description: Desulfovibrio mexicanus tRNA
Rfam family: tRNA
About the family: Transfer RNA (tRNA) molecules are approximately 80 nucleotides in length. Their secondary structure includes four short double-helical elements and three loops (D, anti-codon, and T loops).
Source: Rfam by way of RNAcentral